This 4579-nucleotide long non-coding RNA is filed under the name Nicotiana tabacum (common tobacco). Its description in RNAcentral is "long non-coding RNA (NTAB_LNC012309)". The record is from RNAcentral. Lineage: Eukaryota; Viridiplantae; Streptophyta; Magnoliopsida; Solanales; Solanaceae.
AAUAACUAAAAUUUAAAAAGUAAAUAAAAAAGAAAUUUCUUAAUCAGAAGACCUCAAACAUAUCAAAUGUCACUUUGGUCGAUUUCUUUUCUACAGUACCACUUGUUUGCUCCCUUCCUUCUCUGUAAAAUUCUCAAUGUCCUCUCCGAUAGAAAACCUCAAAUCUCUCAAAUCAUAAAAUGUGAACCAUAUGGUAGAGCUAUAAAAGCCCUAAUUACAAAUUGUGACUCUAUCAGGUAUGUGCUCAAAUCUCAAAUCCUUUUUUUUUGGUAAAUGUAUUCUCUAAUUUUACCUCAAAUUUUUCUGACCCAUUUGUAAAUCUAGAGGAACCGACAGUCGUCUAAAGCUAAAGAAGGAAGGAAGAAAGUUUGAAGUUUGAAAAUCAUUGCGAGGGUAAGAUUUUCGAAACCGUCCAAAGUUUUGGGUAUCUUGAGUUCAGUAAUUGUGCAAGAAAAAAGCUUCUUUUAGGUUGAAUUUACCUGGUUUUUUAGUUUUGAAGAUGGAUUCUGUUUCUUUUGAAAUAUUGAGUUUUAAGAAAUUUUCUGAUGUAUAUAAUUUGUAGAAAUGAGCAUUUUUUUUCUUUAUAAUCUCUACUUUAUACACUUAUGAGCAUUGUUCACUUCAGCCAAACAUUCUAGGAUAUUAUUGGAUAUAACUUAUGUCACACUACUUGCGAUGCUGUUAGUUAUUGAUUCUCUUAUAGGGUGUUAUGAAGAUAUAUCUCUGUGUGUUCUAUAUUUAACUGAUCCACUAUAACAAAUGAGAAACAAAAAUAGAUAAUUUAGCAUUAACUUAUGCCGAAAAAGAUGAAACAAAAAGAAGGAACCUGCUCCAUGCUUUUAAAGUGGAUCUUUUCCAGUGUUACAAGUAGCAAAGACUUGUCCUACUUUUUAUUUGAUAGCAUUUCCUAAAUAUAGUUUGAGUGUGCUAUUUGAUUGUGGUGGUGAAAUGUUUGUAUAUUUUUAUCUUUUAUUGGUUUCAAAUGUAUUAUUUGUCAUGGAGAAGUUCAUUUUUGUAUAACAUAAUCAUAGCUUAUAUGACAAAUUAUACAUAGAGGUUUCACUAAUUAAUUAUGAUUGAGGUAUGGUUAGCUAUGUGAGGUUGCUGCAAUGGAGUUCUUAUAUUUCGAGCCUAUUGACUUUUUCUGGUCAUCUUCAGAAGCAAACAAAGCUAGUCCUAGACGAGACAGGAAUUGUUAGCAUUUAUGAUAUUUCUUAGUAGGAAUUACAUCAUCCUUUAUUAUCUAGUUUUUGCGUGUGCUAUAAAUUAAAUGUUAUACUUUGCGGUAGAAAAUGUUAUUUUAUGAAAGUUGAACUUAGUAAAUCAUAGUGGAUUCUAGUUUAAAGUGUCUGACAUACUCAAAAUGUUUUAUGAAAAUAGACUCAAAUUGGAAGAAGAGCGUGAACAAAUGGCUGAGGAGUUACAAAGGAAUAUACAACAUAGUGCAAAGGAAAUUGGAAAAAGAGUUGCAGAAGAAGUUGGAGGCUGAGCAUGAACACGUGAAUGCAGAAGUAGAUAAGAGGAUCUAAGAACAAUUGGCUACUAUCAUAACCAAAAUGCAACAUGUACUGUUAAUAUUUUGUACUCUUCUUGACAAUUGGCUACUAUCUAAGAACAAUUGGCUUCAUGAAUCUAUUUGUUUGAAAUAUAUGUAAUGCUAACAUGAGGUGAUAUGUUACUAGAAUUAUAUGUAGUUUCUCUCUCUGAUUUUGAGGCAUAUCUUAUAUGUAGCUUAUCUUUAAUUUUGAGGCAUCUCAUAUAAAGACAUCUCUUAUAUGUAGCUUCUCUACUGGAAUGAUAGUACAACUCUGUAUGAAAGGUUUGGAUCCCAAUGACAUUGUGUAUAUAAAGAAAUCUUGGUAACAUCCUUCAUGUCAAUCAACACAAAAUUCAUAAGAUAUGCCGCUUACUAUAACAAAUAAUUACAACUAUAUAAAUACAUUUGAAAAUGACUAGAUGAAUUGUCUGUUGCUCAAUCCUUAGCUAAUAUCCUGUGUUUCUUCUUUGAAAUAAUUUAAAAGUGAUAAAAUGGUAUACAGCUGUUACACACUUAUUUAUACUAUAACCUUCUGCAAUAGCCAGCAUUUUGCUCGAGCUACUGCGACUGCUGCUUCCAACAGGUAAUAUGUGCCCUUCUUCUCUCUUAAAAUUAACUUGUUUUUUCAUAGCUUAGCUUCUAAUUCUAAUAUGGGGUUUAUUCUAUUGAACUAAUUAAUUGUCUGAAUCACUCCAAAAGAAUUAAGAGGAAGUGAUUUGCUUGGAUUCUUGAAUUUUUUGUAUUUUAGCUUCCCAAAAUCUUCAAUAAAUUGUCUUAUUUGGGGGUUGAUUUACUAUAGAUUUUGCUGCUGUAUCAAUCUUGAUAGCAGUACUAUAUGUGUGAUAAAUCUUUACUAGAGUUGUGGUUGCGCUUUAAUAAGAUUUUUCAUUUAUUUUUAUUAUUAUUAUUAUUAUUAUUAUUAUUUUGAUGAUGGUGUAUUCAGGCCAGCUAGCAUGUACCUUGAAUUUCAUUGGGUACUUGCUAUCUCAUCAACACAUGUAUCGGGUAACUCUGCUCACCAAGAUUUAGGCCUAUGGAAAAAUAUUUACCCAAUUUUUUUUUUGUUUUCGCUAAGAUUUGAACCUGAGACCUUAUGGUUCUCGUCGCACUUUAUUGACCACUAAAAUCAAAUUCACGAUUUAUGAAGUGACUGCCAAAUGAAUAUAUGAAGGAGGCAAUCUCUUUUGGUUCUGGUUUUAUAGUUUGUCGAUAGAGAAGUAGUUUUAGUUAGUGUAAAAACUUGAUUGGGAAGUAGUUUUAAUUUGUUUUUAAUGAAUGAAAACUGAUUGGAUUACUCCUAUUGUCACAAAGAGUUCUUUUAUACAUCUAUUGAUAUUUAAGUCUAGUGGUGAAAAAAGUUUUUUUAUCGAUGAUUCCACGGAAAUUUCAUAUUAUCUUCUACCUACGCGUGAGAUAAUUCUACUGGUCUUUGCUUGUGAGUUACCACUGUCGUUCUACGGUUGUUUCUUCAGAGAUUUAUAGAAGUGCGUUGUCCUUAACAUUGGUAACCUGGUGUACAUUUCAACCUAGAGACAUGAGUUCUAAUUUUCUACUUAUUAUAUAGUUGAACUCACAUUUCUUUGCUCAGACAACUGCUCAUGACUAGGAUACCUUUCUACUACAUGAACUUUUGUAGUAUUUAAAAAUUUGAAAUCUAUUGGUAUGAAAUCUCCUCUUACAACCAAAAUGUCUCCGUCAAAAUAGACCGUAAGUGAUAUUGAACCAUUAAUAACAUACAUAUCAUACCCAUUUGACAUGGAAGUGUCAAACCAGGUGAUGAGUAAAUGUACUAAAAAAUCAAAGGUGAAGCUAGUUCUAAAGGUAUUCUGAUGACAAGACGAUAAGAGGCUUGGUUGCUGCUAAUUCUUAAGAUCUACAUUCUCCUGUUUUACUCCACUUCUUAUAUUUCAUGGAUGUAUUUCCUUUUUUGGUAGUGAGGCGUAGGUUGGUUUGGUUUUAUUGAUAUAUACUCAUUUAUGUUUGAUUAGUUUUAAUUUUGUGGGAAGACAAUAGCAUUUAUAUUUGGAACUCAGCUUAUGGCAUACAACUCAAGAUAAACUAGUAAGAGUUCAGGUUAUUAUGUACACAGUUCGUAACAACAGAAAAAAUGGUUUUGGAUGACUAAAUGCUAUUUUCCCACUAUAUUAUGUUGACAAGAGUGGGUUGCUCUAGUGGUGAGUACCCUCCACUUCCAACCAAGAUGUUGUGAGUUUGAGUUCCCCCAAGAAUAAGGUGAGGAGUUCUUGGAGAGAGGGAUGCCGAAGGUCUAUUGAAAACAGUCUCUCUACCCUAGGGUAGGGGUAAGGUCUGCGUACACUCUAUCCUCCCCAGACCCUGGGGUUAUACUGGGUUGUUGUUGUUGUUGUUGUUGUUACAAUGUGGGAAGUAGGAAAUUAUACUUGUUCAAGUGUCAUUGGCAGGAUGUGGCUCACUUAGGAAGAGAAAAAUAAGAUUGACAAAUAUGGCUUCAGAAGUAUGAAUACUCAUGCCUUGAAUACAAAUGAGCCAUUUGUGUUGGCAUCACUGGCUUGUAAUUUUGUGUGUUCAUGUGGGAAUAGGUGUUUGAACGACGCUAUGAAGUGUUUGAUAAAAUGACCGAGAAAAGUGGGGUUUUAUUCUACUACCACUUUGAGAAAGCAAAACUAUUUAUGAUAUUAUUUAUGUGGAAAUGCAAAAGUGUCUUUUAACUUAUAACUGUAACGUCCAUAUAACUAAAUAGUUCAUCUUAUUGGAAUUUUUGUUCUUUGUUGGAUUUUGAUCUUGUAUUUUUUCCUCUUGAUAACAGGGAGAAGAUUUCUGAACAAUCACAAAUGGCGAUGAUCAAGGAGUUUGAACACAUUUAAUGUUUAGUUUUUUCUUUUAUUUUUAGUCGAAAGGCGUCGACCAAGGAGUAGUUCAAAGCGUGAAGACACUUAAUGUAUUAUUUUUCCUUUUUCAUGUGUAAAUGCAUAUAAUGGCAAUAAAUAAGAAAGUAUUGGGCAGUGUAUUAGCUAAUUGACCAUAUAGUAAUGAAAGUAUUUAUAGUAUUUGUGUUGAGAAAUA